GGGGUAUAGCGCAGUUGGCUAGCGCGCCUGACUGGCAGUCAGGAGGUCGAGGGUUCAAGUCCCUCUAUCUCC
RNAcentral lists this transfer RNA (72 nucleotides) under human gut metagenome. It matches the Rfam family "tRNA". Rfam says of the family: Transfer RNA (tRNA) molecules are approximately 80 nucleotides in length. Their secondary structure includes four short double-helical elements and three loops (D, anti-codon, and T loops). The record is from RNAcentral.